This is a long non-coding RNA of Phascolarctos cinereus (koala), 671 nucleotides long. RefSeq lists it as uncharacterized. NCBI's taxonomy places the organism in Eukaryota, Metazoa, Chordata, Mammalia, Diprotodontia, Phascolarctidae. The record is from RefSeq and is a predicted model, not a curated record.
CAGGCAGCUUGGGGGAUUAACAGGAAAGGCCUUUCUCACUCUAAGGGAAAGGGAGUAGCAUAGGAUUGCCGGUGUCGCAGAAAGGCAGUGCAAGCCCCACCUAAGCUUGCCAAAGGGAUGUCCUGAGACCUAGAUGGAACAGUCAAGUGCCAACACUCAUACGGGAAGGGGAACUGGUACACACCAGUUUGGAAAAUGACCAUCGUUGAAAGCACAGUCAACCUCCAACAGCAAAAUCACCCAGUGCCUCAACACAACUCUGGGAAGCACAACUCUAGAAGGAAAGUGGUAGGCUAACAGAAAUCCACUAGCAGUGAAACAUCCCUCUGCAAGGCUCAUGCAACCAGGAGCCAAAAUUCAAGUCCAAAGCCCUGGUGAGCAGGAAAGGAAGCUUGGGUUUAUUACCCACAAAUGGUAUUAAUUACAUGUAUAUUCAAGCUCAUUAUUUAUAAAUGUUUGACUUCAAGAGCACAGCAUCUUCUCUGAUGUGAGUAUGCCAUGCUAAGCAGUCCAGUGCCAGUGUCCCCCAUGUCAAACAAUCAGUUCCAAAGUUCUUAAGAGAGACCUUGAGAGUGUCCUUGAAUUGCUUCUUCUGACCACCAUGUGAAUGCUUGCCCUUGGGAAUUCUCUAUAAAAUAGUAUUUUUGGCAAGUGUAUGUUUUACAUUUAAA